CAGCCGCCGCGGUAAUACAGAGGGUGCGAGCGUUAAUCGGAUUUACUGGGCGUAAAGCGCACGUAGGCGGCUAUUCAAGUCAGAGGUGAAAGCCCGGGGCUCAACCCCGGAACUGCCUUUGAAACUAGAUAGCUUGAAUCCAGGAGAGGUGAGUGGAAUUCCGAGUGUAGAGGUGAAAUUCGUAGAUAUUCGGAAGAACACCAGUGGCGAAGGCGGCUCACUGGACUGGUAUUGACGCUGAGGUGCGAAAGCGUGGGGAGCAAACAGGAUUAGAGACCCCGGUAGUCCCUGUCUCUUAUAU
RNAcentral lists this ribosomal RNA (301 nucleotides) under uncultured bacterium. RNAcentral describes it as "partial 16S ribosomal RNA". It matches the Rfam family "Bacterial small subunit ribosomal RNA", at positions 509 to 809 of the family's 1533-position model. The record is from RNAcentral.